RNAcentral lists this ribosomal RNA (398 nucleotides) under uncultured bacterium. RNAcentral describes it as "partial 16S ribosomal RNA". It matches the Rfam family "Bacterial small subunit ribosomal RNA", at positions 523 to 918 of the family's 1533-position model. The record is from RNAcentral.
AUACGUAGGGUGCGAGCGUUGUCCGGAAUUACUGGGCGUAAAGAGCUCGUAGGUGGUUUGUCGCGUCGUCUGUGAAAUUCCGGGGCUUAACUCCGGGCGUGCAGGCGAUACGGGCAUAACUUGAGUACUGUAGGGGAGACUGGAAUUCCUGGUGUAGCGGUGAAAUGCGCAGAUAUCAGGAGGAACACCGGUGGCGAAGGCGGGUCUCUGGGCAGUAACUGACGCUGAGGAGCGAAAGCAUGGGUAGCGAACAGGAUUACAUACCCUGGUAGUCCAUGCCGUAAACGGUGGGCGCUAGGUGUAGGGGUCUUCCACGACUUCUGUGCCGUAGCUAACGCAUUAAGCGCCCCGCCUGGGGAGUACGGCCGCAAGGCUAAAACUUAAAGGAAUUGACGGGG